Molecule: long non-coding RNA, 248 nt
Filed under: Mytilus galloprovincialis (Mediterranean mussel)
Lineage: Eukaryota; Metazoa; Mollusca; Bivalvia; Mytilida; Mytilidae
Source: RNAcentral
CUUUUUCAGAUAAUAAUUACUGUGGCUGAAGGAUAUAAUUGUGUGAUUAAUUCUCCAUACUCCUUAAUUAGAGAUGUUGUGAAGGUUCUUAACAUGUUGACAGCUGGGCACUCUCUCUUCACAAGACAUCAGAUUUAAAAUCCCCAUUCUGACACUGGACAUGACUGCCACUGUAUAUCCUGCCUGAUUCCUGCACUACCAAACAGAUGCCUUACUUUUGCAAGGAUUUUACUGCCAGUCUGAAGAAG